This 253-nucleotide ribosomal RNA is filed under the name uncultured bacterium. RNAcentral describes it as "partial 16S ribosomal RNA". It matches the Rfam family "Bacterial small subunit ribosomal RNA", at positions 524 to 776 of the family's 1533-position model. The record is from RNAcentral.
UACGUAGGUGGCAAGCGUUGUCCGGAAUUAUUGGGCGUAAAGCGUGCGCAGGCGGUGAUGUAAGACAGGUGUGAAAUCCCCGGGCUCAACUUGGGAACUGCAUUUGUGACUGCAUCGCUGGAGUGCGGCAGAGGGGGAUGGAAUUCCGCGUGUAGCAGUGAAAUGCGUAGAUAUGCGGAGGAACACCGAUGGCGAAGGCAAUCCCCUGGGCCUGCACUGACGCUCAUGCACGAAAGCGUGGGGAGCAAACAGG